This is a regulatory RNA element of Roseburia sp. CAG:45, 165 nucleotides long. The record is from Rfam. NCBI's taxonomy places the organism in Bacteria, Bacillati, Bacillota, Clostridia, Lachnospirales, Lachnospiraceae.
UAAGAAGGGCUGUUAGGGGCACUUGGAAUUUCGUCCGGCAACAGGCAACGCUGGCACAUGGACGUGCCAGCGAGGCGCAUAUGAACAUGGAUGUGAAUUUGCACCGGUUGCCGGACAAAAUAUUUUGCCUGCCGAAAUUCCUAGUGCCCCUUACAGGUCUUAUAC